Molecule: long non-coding RNA, 616 nt
Organism: Ahaetulla prasina
Lineage: Eukaryota; Metazoa; Chordata; Lepidosauria; Squamata; Colubridae
Exons: 3
Source: RefSeq, a predicted model, not a curated record
GGCACCAUCCUUCCCGGGAGAGUUCCUACUGCCGGGGAGGCGAGCAAGCUUGGUGGACGGGGAAUCUCUGACCACGGUUAAAAGAACCCGCAGUUCCAUCUAGACUCUACUGGACGGUGUUUCCAAAGUAAUUUGGAAGGCAUAAUUGAACAAGCAGAGAGAGAAUUAAGCAUCAUCAACACAGCAGUUCCCCAUCCCAUUGUUGCAUCGACCAACAUAGACUUCGACAGGAUGGCAGAGGGUAUGUCUGCAAACCCCCUUUAGUCUUCUACAUCGCCCGGUGCCUUCAAAGAAAACAGGAGGACUUGUGAAUUUUGUAUUUCCUUUUCUAAUUUCCUGCUUUUAAUGUCUUUGGCUUAGUAUUUUUAAAUCCUUUUCUACAUUUUGAUAUUGUUGCUAAUCAGAAAGGAACUGCUUAACAGGAAUGUACAUCUGAAUUAAUUUUUCUAGCGCUCCUAUGCAGAAGAGAUGUUAUGAAACUUGAGAAUACAUAUGCAUAUAUGUACACUGAUAAAGAAGAUUAAUAAUUAGAUUUCUAAGUAAGAAAAAAAAUGUAAGGAAGGAUUUAAAAAAAAUUAGUAAGCCAAUACCCUUGCAACUAUCAAAUAUAGACAAA